GCGGCGUGCUCGAAAAUGUUAAAGUUCUUAUUUCAUGGUAUAACUUUGGUAUGCUUGGACCUAGAGUCUUCAAACUUGACAUGAAGGUUGGCCAGGAUUAACAGAUGACCACUGGUCAUUUCAAGGUCAUUCAUUUGAAGGUCAAGGUCACUGUGACCUUCAAUAUAAAAAUGUUAAAGUUGUUAUUACUUUGGUAUGCUUGGACCUAGAGUCUUGAAACUUGACAUGAAGGUUGGCCAGAACUAGUAAGUAACCACUGGACAUUUCAAGGUCAUUCAUUUGAAGGUCAAGGUCACUGUGACCUUGAAUGUAAAAAUGUUAAAGUUGUUAUAACUUUGGUAUGCUUGGACCUAGAGUCUUGAAACUUGACAUGAAGGUUGGCCAGAACUAGUAAGUAACCACUGGACAUUUCAAGGUCAUUCAUUUGAAGGUCAAGGUCACUGUGACCUUGAAUGUAAAAAUGUUAAAGUUCUUAUUUCAUGUUAUAACUUUGGUAUGCUUGUACCUAGAGUCUUCAAACUUGAAAUAAAGAUUGGCCAGUACUAGAAGAUGACCACUGGUCAUUUCAAUGUCAUUCAUUUGAAGGUCAAGGUCACUGUGACCUUAAAUGUUAAAAUGUUAAAAUUGUUAUAACUUUGGUA
Long non-coding RNA from Dreissena polymorpha, 641 nucleotides. RefSeq lists it as uncharacterized. Lineage: Eukaryota; Metazoa; Mollusca; Bivalvia; Myida; Dreissenidae. The record is from RefSeq and is a predicted model, not a curated record. The transcript is spliced from 2 exons.